AUAUUUAAUUACAAGUGUGCCCCUGGUAGUCUUUAACUGAAGGGCACUGACUGGGUCACUGGUGAAGUUCCCCGCAGGAACUGAGUCAGACCCCAUCUCAGGGCCCUGCACAAGAUAGGUGCCUGCUCUAAGGCGUGGACCCUCGCCACAGCCCUGGCCCGUCUUGACGGGCGAGGGUUACUGUACUUGUCCCAACCGUACAGAUGAGAAAGCUGAGACUCAGGGCCAGCAACCCGGGUCCCAGCGGAGCGCCCGGCACACGCCGACACUUCAGCACCAGUGGCGGUGGCCACCACUGUGGGCGGAGAUGGCUGCGACGCGUGCGCAGAUUAAAUGCUGUUUUCCAUGACCGUCUCUGUUCUUCCCAUACGGGAAUGGCAGGCAUUCAGAUCUCCAAGAAUAGAGGAUUAGGAGAGACUCCACCACCUAUGUCCUCACAGUUAAUUAUCGAUUUGUGUCAGUUGCCCAUUUUCUCACUUCCUGUUUGUGUGUCAAGGGGUAUUAAUAAAUCUUUGCCUAUUUAAAGAUAUUAGCCUUGGAUUUUCAAAUAUUGCAUAUUUUGACAUGUAAAAAUUUGUUAGUUUUAUUUUUUCAACCGAUCUGACCUGUAUAGUUGGGCUUGAGGAAGCUUCCUCAUUCUACAUGUUACUAUGGAUUUUCUAAUAUUAACACAGGGUUGUAUUUUUUCCAUAUAACUUUCUAUUGAAUUUCUUUUUCCAUAUGAUAGGUGGUGAAGGUUUAGCCCAGUAAAGCAGAGAGGUUAAGAGGUUAGAUUGGGGGCUCUGGAGCCAGACCUGUGUAGAUCUGAGUCGUGGCUCUGGCACUUGAAAGCCGUGUGACCUUGGUUAAGAUACUUAGUCCCUCUCUGCCAAAUGGAGAAAUAAGGGCACCUACCCCAUAGGGUAGUUGUGUGAUUACACAAGUUAAUACACUUCAAUCAGUAGCAAGAAAGUGAAUGUCAAGCUGUAUUUGUUCAGGCAGCCAUAUGGUAGCCCCACGUCCUUAGUAAACUGAGGUAUUGAAGUAUCUUCUUUUUCUUUCAGAAAAUAUUUGUCAAGCACCUUCUGUGUUCAAAGAACUGUUCUAGAGCUUUGCAUGCUAUGGAGGUCUAGAAAUUCACAUUAUGGUGGCAGGUGACAGACAAUACAAAGAGAUAAAGCAAUUUCAUAUAGUGAUAAGCUAGGGAGGAGUGCUAAAAGGAGCCAAGGUGUAGUGGUGACUGGAAGGUGACCAGGGAAACCACUGUAGGGUUUCUAAGUGAUGAGAUCUGUGACAAAUCCCUGUGGUCAGCAGCAGGCAUUGGAUAUGUAACUUUAUUCUGUCCCAUUGAUCUUGUAGUCAACCCUGGUCUGUUCUGUAUUGUUUUAAUUACAUAAUCUUUGUAAUAAUCUUU
Molecule: long non-coding RNA, 1393 nt
Filed under: Homo sapiens (human)
Lineage: Eukaryota; Metazoa; Chordata; Mammalia; Primates; Hominidae
Description: non-protein coding GLIDR:11
Source: RNAcentral